GGCGUUGCGGGCGGCCUUGGCCAGGCGGGCCUGGUUCAUGCCGAAGCGCCGGGAGUAUUCGCGCAGAUCGGGCAGGAGCCCGGCCUGCUGGCGCUCC
This 97-nucleotide transfer RNA is filed under the name Fundidesulfovibrio magnetotacticus. Its description in RNAcentral is "tRNA-Met". The record is from RNAcentral. Lineage: Bacteria; Pseudomonadati; Thermodesulfobacteriota; Desulfovibrionia; Desulfovibrionales; Desulfovibrionaceae.